GCGGCUCGCUGCCGCUCUCGGCCACGGCCCCGCCAGCUUGGCGUCCCCCUUCCUGCACAGGUGAGAGCUUGCGCAGAUGGCGAUGCAGUCACACUGACCCCCAACAGGGCUUUGGCCCUGCUGCUCAGCAAAGAAUAAACCAGUGCACCCUGCUUGUUAUAAGAAGGGGUCGCCCUGAGCUUCUGAGGCUGGAGAUUCCCAGGCACAGGGAAGGUGGCUCCCAUUGGGUUGAUCUCCCACGCCCUUGCUGCUCAGAAGUGCGAUUCCUGGACCAGGGCCGUCAGCAUGGCCCGGGAGCUAGUUGGAAAUGCAGAAUCCCAGGCCCACCUCGACCUCGGAGUCCGCAUCUGCACUUUGAAAGGACGCCCAGGUGCUUCUGGGCAGUGGCGCAGGGGAACGGUGCUGGGCCGGGUCCUCUUUCCCAGAGCCACCUUCCUAGGUUACCAGACCAAGGGCAUGUUAUCAACAAUCCCACCACCUAAAAUGCAGCCAGCAAGCACUGCAGCCCUUCUUGCUUCCCCUAAAACCUUCAAAAAGACAAGACAGGACCAAAAGGUUGAGCGGAAAAGGUCUCUGUCCUAUAAAGCAAAUUCUUGGGUUGCUCAAGAGAGGGGGCAGAUGUAAGUACUCAAAGAGCGAAGCUGCCUGGGGCUUUCCCUCGGAGCAGCAGUUUAUAUUCAUCGUUCCCAGGUUACUUAAAGGACAGAAAGUUGGUAAAUACAUUUAGAUAUUCUUUAAAAGAUGUUUGGAAGAAAAAGACUUUUGUACGCUAGGACUCAUCUAGAAAGUUAUUUGUGUCCAGCCAUCCUUCCUUCACCGAUAAUACCAGAUAACAUGAGCUGGUUCUGUGUCUUUGUAACUCUUGCUAUUUUGCCAAUGCGCUGAUCUCCCCCUUCCCCCGACCCCUACCCCAGCCAAACCAAGAAUUUUCAGUGAUUCCUGCUGGUGGUCGAUAAAACAACACAGGAGUCAAGGAAAUGAUUUGUUUUUAAGACUUUUUUUUUUUUUGGUUUGUUUUUAAAGAAACUGCAUACAUCAUUAGAGACAAACAAUAAUUUAAAUACCAUGCAGUUUCUGUAUGUACAAAACCUAGGCCGUAGAGAUCCAGUUUAAUUUGUGUUCUGUUCACACUGUCUUCCUCGUACAGCCGCCGGCUGUUAAAGCAGCACACAGGACAGUGCUCUGAUACAAAGACAAACUAUGUACAGACACCCGGGAAGCAACUGGAGAAAAGCAACCGGUUUGGGGAUCGACAGACAAAUGGGAAGAAAAAGUUGUUUAAGGUGACCUUCACCCACUGGCUGUGCACAGGGAGAGCCUGAAAUUCCAUUCACCGAAGCGCACACCAUGAUUUUCAUUCGGCAAAUAUAAAUACACGUUCAUAAGCAGGAGAAAAAUAAGCUCGGGGGUUUUCAUCACAUCAACCGUCACGUCGUUUGGUUUCUCUAAUCUGACAUAAAGGCUCAAGUUUUACGGAGCUUUGAGGGCCUUUGGGAAGGAAAAUAUCAGCAAUUUCGAAACAGCAGGAAGGAGCCGACGUGGCAUUCCCUCUUCUUGGCUGGAGCUCCCCUUCCUUAAGGCAGUAAAACCACAUGGUCUAAGAGAGACCAAUGGGAAUCUCUUCUAUGCCAUGGAAGGAACUCUAUGGUCUGAGUCCUCCAGACUUAGCCCUUGAUACGGGACCAGAAGACAAUACCAGCAAUUGGCCCUUACCCUCCAGUUCCUCAUGGUGCCUGGAUUAAGAAUCACAAAGGAUCCCCAAGCAGAGGUCCCCUUAGAUGCGUGUGUGGAUGAACGGCGCUGCCUUGUGCCUUCUCCAGAGCGGGGGAGAACCAGCUCAGCGCCCUCUCCGCACACUGUCUGGAGCCCUUGGGCAAAGGUGCCGGGAGCAGCGCCACAGCCUGCCUGGCAGCCACUCGGCCUCCAGUACCGAGCCGGGC
This is a non-coding RNA of Kogia breviceps (pygmy sperm whale), 1940 nucleotides long. Lineage: Eukaryota; Metazoa; Chordata; Mammalia; Artiodactyla; Physeteridae. The record is from RefSeq and is a predicted model, not a curated record.